CAUUUUUUUUUUUUUUUUUUAAACUGGCUAUGCACGUAUUUAUUCUGAAUCAAACUAGAAGUAACACCCUCUAAACUAGAAGUAAAACUAUGAGCGUAAGAGAAACCCAAGUAUCAAGUAUUUAUUCAAUUAAUGGCAUUCACUCGUAGAAAGACAUUGAAUAGUAAAAAUCAAGGCAACCAAAUCUCAAUUGCCCAACAAGAAGCAGAAUUUACAUAGGAAUCAUGAAGUUCCGGUUGUUAGCUGGAAACCCUAAAUUCCUG
Molecule: unclassified non-coding RNA, 263 nt
Filed under: Hevea brasiliensis (rubber tree)
Lineage: Eukaryota; Viridiplantae; Streptophyta; Magnoliopsida; Malpighiales; Euphorbiaceae
Source: RNAcentral